This 78-nucleotide transfer RNA is filed under the name Clostridioides difficile. RNAcentral describes it as "tRNA-Gly". It matches the Rfam family "tRNA". From Rfam's summary of the family: Transfer RNA (tRNA) molecules are approximately 80 nucleotides in length. Their secondary structure includes four short double-helical elements and three loops (D, anti-codon, and T loops). Further hydrogen bonds mediate the characteristic L-shaped molecular structure. tRNAs have two regions of fundamental functional importance: the anti-codon, which is responsible for specific mRNA codon recognition, and the 3' end, to which the tRNAs corresponding amino acid is attached (by aminoacyl-tRNA synthetases). tRNAs cope with the degeneracy of the genetic code in two manners: having more than one tRNA (with a specific anti-codon) for a particular amino acid; and 'wobble' base-pairing, i.e. permitting non-standard base-pairing at the 3rd anti-codon position. The record is from RNAcentral. Lineage: Bacteria; Bacillati; Bacillota; Clostridia; Peptostreptococcales; Peptostreptococcaceae.
GCGGGUGUAGCUCAAUGGUAGAGUUCUGGCCUUCCAAGCCAGCUGUGAGGGUUCGAUCCCCUCCCUUCACCCGCUCCA